RNAcentral lists this ribosomal RNA (655 nucleotides) under uncultured bacterium. RNAcentral's name for it is "bacterial SSU rRNA". It matches the Rfam family "Bacterial small subunit ribosomal RNA", at positions 28 to 666 of the family's 1533-position model. The record is from RNAcentral.
GACGAACGCUGGCGGCGUGCCUAAUACAUGCAAGUUGAGCGCUGAAGGUUGGUACUUGUACCGACUGGAUGAGCAGCGAACGGGUGAGUAACGCGUGGGGAAUCUGCCUUUGAGCGGGGGACAACAUUUGGAAACGAAUGCUAAUACCGCAUAAAAACUUUAAACACAAGUUUUAAGUUUGAAAGAUGCAAUUGCAUCACUCAAAGAUGAUCCCGCGUUGUAUUAGCUAGUUGGUGAGGUAAAGGCUCACCAAGGCGAUGAUACAUAGCCGACCUGAGAGGGUGAUCGGCCACAUUGGGACUGAGACACGGCCCAAACUCCUACGGGAGGCAGCAGUAGGGAAUCUUCGGCAAUGGACGAAAGUCUGACCGAGCAACGCCGCGUGAGUGAAGAAGUUUUUCGGAUCGUAAAACUCUGUUGGUAGAGAAGAACGUUGGUGAGAGUGGAAAGCUCAUCAAGUGACGGUAACUACCCAGAAAGGGACGGCUAACUACGUGCCAGCAGCCGCGGUAAUACGUAGGUCCCGAGCGUUGUCCGGAUUUAUUGGGCGUAAAGCGAGCGCAGGUGGUUUAUUAAGUCUGGUGUAAAAGGCAGUGGCUCAACCAUUGUAUGCAUCGGAAACUGGUAGACUUGAGUGCAGGAGAGGAGAGUGGAA